RNAcentral lists this ribosomal RNA (468 nucleotides) under Triticum aestivum (bread wheat). Its description in RNAcentral is "partial small subunit ribosomal RNA". The record is from RNAcentral. Lineage: Eukaryota; Viridiplantae; Streptophyta; Magnoliopsida; Poales; Poaceae.
AUGGAGAUCUCAGCCGCCACGGCCACCGCCGGCUCUUCCCCGCCAGCCAAGCCGGUGCUCCUCCGCCCCCACGCCACCUCUUCCGCUACCACAACCAUCAGCCGCCGCGCCUCCGCCUCGGCCUCGGCCACCGUCCGCCGCCGCGCGCGCACCCGCCGUUCCAAGACCAUCUCCGGCGCGGGCGGCGAUGACGGGGAGGGCCCCUUCGGACCCGGCAGUGGCGGGAGCGGCGGCGGCGGCGGCGGGUGGAACCAUGGUUUCGGGUCCGGAUCUGGUCAAGGCUGGGACUCAUCGGAGCCCGACGUCCCCGCCCCCCGCCGAUCGGCGGCGGAGGUGGCGCUCGGCGUGAUCUACGAGCUCAUGUGCCUCAUCGCGCUCUCCAACUGCACCCAGUUUGCCGUGCGGAGGCUCGCGGGGCUUCUCGCCGCCCGCGUCGCCGCGCUGCGCUUCGUCCCCAGGGUCUGCUGA